GCUGGGUGCGGUGGCACGCGCCUGUAAUCCAAGCUACCGGGAGGCUGAGGCUGGAGGAUCGUUUGAGCUCAGGAGCUCUGAGCUGCAGCGGACUAUGUCGAUCGGGUGUCCGCACUAAGUUCGGUAUCGAUAUGGUGCUCCUGGGGGAGCCCGGGACCACCAGGUCGUCUAAGGAGGGGUGCACCGGCCCAGGUCGGAAACGGAGCAGGUCAAAGCCCCCGUGCCGCUCAGUAGUGGGAUCGCGCCUGUGAAUAGACGCUGUAGUGCAGCCUGAGUAAUACAGCGGGACUCAGUCUUUU
This is an unclassified non-coding RNA of 299 nucleotides. It matches the Rfam family "Metazoan signal recognition particle RNA". From Rfam's summary of the family: The signal recognition particle (SRP) is a universally conserved ribonucleoprotein. It is involved in the co-translational targeting of proteins to membranes. The record is from Ensembl.